AGUUCCAGAGAGCAAGAGAAAGGGAUGUAAAUCUCGUCUUUUCAUCCAUUAUCAGUGGGUAAGAGAGAGUUGCUGAGGUUUUUACAGAGACAAAAAUGGAGAAGUUGGAGAGAUUUGAGGGUUUAUACUUCUAUUAUAAUAAUUUGAAUGAAAAGACGAAGUAGCUGAAAAUUCUUAGAUGGGUUCGCAAGAAACACAAUGGACAACUACAGCUUCGUCGUCAGUAAUCUUCACUUGGUCCAAUUGUUUUAGACUUGGAUGACUUGGAUUGCGACAAAUGAGUUCUUUAUCAUGUUUCUCACUUACGGCUCUUUGGAGGGAGUUUGAUAUAACAAAAUAGUGCGGACAGUUAUAAUUUGAUAUAAAAAGAUAGUGGGCAGGUUUUUUUAGUGAUCUUCGGAGAUAAUUUUGUAUGUAGCAAACAAGGUUUCUUGACUCCUUGAGCUCUGUUGAGACUACUGUGAGUAUUGGUACAAAAAUCUGAAGUUGUCUUAUUUAAUCCGGAGGCAAAUCAUGGCAGUAAGUGGAAUACUCGAAUUUAAGGUAAAUCUCUUUUAUCUUUAGGGGUCUAAUUCGUGAAUGCUUGAUAAUGCAUUUGUUAACCGGGAGUUGAUUCUGUCCAUGGAAUGUUGUGAAAUGAUGCGCUAUAUGGGUUAAUUAAAAUGAUAAUAUUUGUGUCAGUGUCAUGGAGUACUCAAUUCAAACCAAGAAUUUUUAGUUCAAUUUUGCGUUGGUGUAUUUGUUCUUUAAUUUAGCAAACCCAGAAUACUACAAUACUUUUGGAUUAAAUGGAUGAAUUGUCUUACUGAUUAGCUGGGUGCCUAUGUAAGUGUUUGUUAAAAAUGUUUCUAUGAUCAACGAAUGUUACUGGUCACCUUUGUAGUUGGGAUGUCAUAUCCCAUUUAGACAUAUUGUCGUUCAACUGUAUACAAUUUGUUGAGCAUUGUCUAUUCCUUGUACCUUCUCUAUCAUCCUUAGGAGUCUCCAUUUGUUUGUGUUACAUUGUUGUUUACUAAUAUUUUUAGUGGCGGGUACAGACGUAGAUGUUGGUAUCUUGCCGUUUAGUGAGAAUUGCUAGGGAUAGUUGUUGCUAGGAAAUUCAUACUAUCCAAUGCUGGAAAUAUUUACUGUUACGGUAAGAAGUUCAUACAAUUUAUUUAAGAGAUGAUUGCUAUCUAAAUGGGAUAGUGCAUAUCAUCUAGUUAGAGAUAAUUGCUACUAUUAAGAGUAGUUCAUAUUAUCUAAAUAAAUAGAUGACAAACUACGGUCGUGCUUAAUCCCUUCGAGCAACGGAGAGCGUACGCAGGCAGCUGCUAUGCGGUUCAGCACAACUCUACAAGGUUGUUCAUAUCAUCUGAAAGUGUUGGUUGCUGUUUUGACAGUUCAGACCAUUUAUUCAGGGAUGAUUGCAACCCUGGAAUUUAUUGCAACACCUGUUUUUUCAAAUCAAAACCCUACCACACCUAUCUCUUUUUUCUAUCUAUUCUUUCUGUUCCUCCAGAUUCAGCCAUUGCAGCUUACAGAUCCGUGCCAACCGAGUCAGACUGGAGGACGAGUAUUGCACAAGUGGGAUUUUUCAGUUUGGGGUGGACAGGGCAAUGCUUGGGUAGAUUCCGGGGAACUUUUGUAUCUACCCGACUUGGUGUGAGAGUGUUGCAGACAGUGACUGGUUUAUGUGUUGCUGAUUCUUUGAACUCGUCGUUUCCUCCUGUAUCUGAUGGAGAAUUAAAUCUCCAGCCGUUAUCUUUAGUUAGUGGAGAUCUGAAAAAAUCUUUAUCCACUAGUGUUCAAUGCACACCUGAAACUGAAAAGAAAUAUGUUCAUCGUGUUUAUGAAGCAAUUACUCCGCAUUAGUUCCACUAGGUUUGCCAAGUGGCUGAAAGUGUCGACGUUUUUGAAUGCACUGCCAUGUGGUUCUCUUGUUUGGGACUAGCAAACAGAAAAAUGAGAAGAAGGGCACUGUGGUAAACAACCGAUAUUACCAUGUAUUCAAAGAAGGAGAGCUUGAAAGGUAGGGACACCAUCUAAAUUUCUAGUUUCAGUUUUCCUCUCUAUCUGGUAUCUCAUGCUACUGUUACUAUGCUUUUGCCUUCUUCUGUAAUGAUUUUGACUGUACAUUUUCGGUA
Molecule: long non-coding RNA, 2126 nt
Organism: Papaver somniferum (opium poppy)
Lineage: Eukaryota; Viridiplantae; Streptophyta; Magnoliopsida; Ranunculales; Papaveraceae
Exons: 4
Source: RefSeq, a predicted model, not a curated record